Musa acuminata AAA Group (dessert banana) is the source of this 1042-nucleotide long non-coding RNA. RefSeq lists it as uncharacterized. NCBI's taxonomy places the organism in Eukaryota, Viridiplantae, Streptophyta, Magnoliopsida, Zingiberales, Musaceae. The record is from RefSeq and is a predicted model, not a curated record. The transcript is spliced from 3 exons.
AAUUAUUCUGAUGCUGCACUGAUUCAGAAACAUGAGGUGAAGUGUUCAGUGUUCAUCCUAGCUCAAGAUGUUUACACUUGAGACUAUUUUCUUGAAUAAAGAUUAAGAAUUGUGGGAGAUGAAGUGCAAAUACCUUUUGUUUGUAUUAGUUUGCAAUCUUGGGUUUUGCUCUACUUUAAUUGUUCCAGGAAUCUUUGCACUUGUACAUUUUAAAUUUUGUGAUACAUGGUAGUGUGUUUUUUGCAGUUUGUUGAUAGCAUGCUCCAGGGAGUUAAUGAAGGGAAUCUUCAUGGACAAAGCAAUUUCUGCAGCAUCUGUCCUGAACUUUUUUGGGAUAAUGACUGUGCAGAAAGCCUUGAGGUUAAAUGUGCUUCCCAGAACACAUCAUGUAUUAGAAAUUUCAGAUCAGAUUUGCAAACCAAAAGCAUUGGAAUGAAUACAUAGUGAUGCUGGAGAAUUCUCAGACUUGUCAAAUGCUCUUAAUUCUCCAUAUGAUGCUGCUACACCUGAUCGAGAUGCAUAUUUGUUCGAUGAUGUAAACACCAAUCAACUUCCUGAUGUGUUCAGAAGCUCUUUGGGAUGGGAUACAUCAGUGGAGGGCAAGCAGUCUCUGGAGCAUCAUAUACUUUUUCAAUUUCAGAACCUGACUGAAAUUAACAAAUUUUCCAGUCCCUCGCAAUGCAGCUCUAUGCCAAAUGAGAUUGAUGAUGAAACAAUAUGGAUACCAAAAAUAUCUUUUUGAAGAAGUGUCUAGUCCAUUCGGAAGUAUAUUUGAUACCACCAAACUGGUGGUUGGAAUAGGUGCUGAGAAGCCAGUGCAGUGUGGUAGGGAUGUUCGAGUGGGAAAUUUUUCUGAGGCACACAAGACUCAUUUGGGAGAUGAAGACAGUGCAGUUAUAACAAAUAAGAGAUUACGCAAACCCACUCGAAGAUAUAUUGAAGAAACAUCAGAUUUGAAAUCCAGAUGCUGCAGAGAAACUAGAGGUUUAGUUAUUCAGAAACAAAGAGGUCUGCAUGCCUCCAGAGUUCAGCGUCGGAAAAA